AAUGAACGCUGGCGGCGUGCUUAACACAUGCAAGUCGAGCGCGAAAGCGACUUCGGUCGUGAGUAGAGCGGCGAACGGGUGAGUAACACGUGGAUAAUCUGCCCAGGUGUGGGGGACAACUCAGGGAAACUUGAGCUAAUACCGCAUACGAUCCGCCUAUUACGGUAAGCGGAGGAAAGACCGCCAAUCCUUGGAAGCGGUCGCACUUGGAUGAGUCCGCGGCUGAUUAGCUAGUUGGCGGGGUAACGGCCCACCAAGGCAACGAUCAGUAGCCGGCCUGAGAGGGCGAUCGGCCACACUGGAACUGAGACACGGUCCAG
RNAcentral lists this ribosomal RNA (320 nucleotides) under uncultured bacterium. RNAcentral describes it as "bacterial SSU rRNA". It matches the Rfam family "Bacterial small subunit ribosomal RNA", at positions 29 to 334 of the family's 1533-position model. The record is from RNAcentral.